Molecule: ribosomal RNA, 484 nt
Filed under: uncultured bacterium
Lineage: Bacteria
Description: partial 16S ribosomal RNA
Rfam family: Bacterial small subunit ribosomal RNA
Source: RNAcentral
AUUGAACGCUGGCGGCAGGCCUAACACAUGCAAGUCGAGCGGAUGAAGGGAGCUUGCUCCUGGAUUCAGCGGCGGACGGGUGAGUAAUGCCUAGGAAUCUGCCUGGUAGUGGGGGAUAACGUCCGGAAACGGGCGCUAAUACCGCAUACGUACUGAGGGAGAAAGUGGGGGAUCUUCGGACCUCACGCUAUCAGAUGAGCCUAGGUCGGAUUAGCUAGUUGGUGGGGUAAAGGCCUACCAAGGCGACGAUCCGUAACUGGUCUGAGAGGAUGAUCAGUCACACUGGAACUGAGACACGGUCCAGACUCCUACGGGCGGCAGCAGUGGGGAAUAUUGGACGCUGGGCGAAAGCCUGCUCCAGCCAUGCCGCGUGUGUGAAGAAGGUCUUCGGAUUGUAAAGCACUUUUAGUUGGGAGGAAGGGCAGUAAGUGAAUACCUUGCUGUUUUGACGUUACCAACAGAAUAAGCACCGGCUAACUUCGUG